RNAcentral lists this ribosomal RNA (540 nucleotides) under Opilio hemseni. RNAcentral describes it as "partial large subunit ribosomal RNA". It matches the Rfam family "Bacterial large subunit ribosomal RNA", at positions 1796 to 2622 of the family's 2925-position model. Lineage: Eukaryota; Metazoa; Arthropoda; Arachnida; Opiliones; Phalangiidae. The record is from RNAcentral.
UCGCCUGUUUAUCAAAAACAUUUCUUUAAGAAUUAUUAGAAAUUAAAGUAAGCCCUGCUCCAUGAUAAGUAAUACUAUUUAAUAGCCGCAGUAUACUGACUGUGCAAAGGUAGCAUAAUCAUUUGGUUUUUAAAUGAAAUCUUGUAUGAAAGGGUUAACGGGGAUAAGCUUUUUUUAAGGUAUAUUUUGAAUUUAGGAUUUUUGUUAAAAAUCAAAAAUUGAUUUAAGGGACGAUAAGACCCUAUAAAGCUUUAUUUAAUAUUAAAUUAAGGUAGUAACUUAUUUUUUUUUAAUAAUUAAAUUUUACUGGGGCGGUAGCUUAAAUUAAAACUAAGCAAUUUUAUAAUAAUUUGAUCCAUUACUAAUGAUAAUUUGAUUAAGUUACUUUAGGGAUAACAGCAUAAUUCAUUUAGGGAGUACAAAUCGAAAAAUGAGAUUAUGACCUCGAUGUUGAAUUAAAAUUUCUUUUAGGUGUAGAAGCUUAAAAAGUUAGUCUGUUCGACUAUUAAAUUUUUACAUGAUCUGAGUUCAAACCGGAGA